CCCCUUUCAUUUCAGGUGAAAAGCCCUUAUAUCAAGCGUGCUGGGCAACCAGCUAUGGCAAUAAAUGGUCAGUGCAAUAAGCCUAUCGGACCCGGGGGCGGUACCCGGCGCCUCCACCCAAGCCCACGAAAUUUCCACCCGGAAAACUUGGGUUUCGGCGGGGGCGAAACAGGAUCGACGAGGGUGUAAAGACUGUGCUUUUGCUCGGCAUUGUACCACCGUUAUCGGGCUUACUUAAUAGUUGCAAAUGACAACUAUGCUAUGGACAACGCUGUCGCUGCGUAACGCAGUGCCAGUCGUCCUUUAAAGCCCUGUUGGGUUAGCUCCUACAGGCGGGGUUCGGAGGCACCUGGCAACAGAAGCCUCCACU
This 370-nucleotide transfer-messenger RNA is filed under the name Rhodobacterales bacterium. Its description in RNAcentral is "Alphaproteobacteria transfer-messenger RNA". It matches the Rfam family "Alphaproteobacteria transfer-messenger RNA". From Rfam's summary of the family: Bacterial tmRNA, also known as 10Sa RNA or SsrA, is named for its dual tRNA and mRNA-like properties. Its role is to liberate the mRNA from a stalled ribosome. Lineage: Bacteria; Pseudomonadati; Pseudomonadota; Alphaproteobacteria; Rhodobacterales. The record is from Rfam by way of RNAcentral.